This 301-nucleotide ribosomal RNA is filed under the name uncultured bacterium. RNAcentral's name for it is "partial 16S ribosomal RNA". It matches the Rfam family "Bacterial small subunit ribosomal RNA", at positions 509 to 808 of the family's 1533-position model. The record is from RNAcentral.
CAGUCGCCGCGGGAAAACGAAGGGUGCAAGCGUUACUCGGAAUUACUGGGCGUAAAGCGUGCGUAGGUGGUGGUUUAGUCCGUUGUGAAAGCCCUGGGCUCAACCUGGGAAUUGCAAUGGAUACUGGGUCACUAGAGUGUGGUAGAGGAUAGUGGAAUUUCCGGUGUAGCAGUGAAAUGCGUAGAGAUCGGAAGGAACAUCUGUGGCGAAGGCGACUAUCUGGGCCAACACUGACACUGAGGCACGAAAGCGUGGGGAGCGAACAGGAUUAGAUACCCCCGUAGUCCCUGUCUCUUAUACA